This is a long non-coding RNA of Macaca mulatta (Rhesus monkey), 4663 nucleotides long. The record is from Ensembl. Lineage: Eukaryota; Metazoa; Chordata; Mammalia; Primates; Cercopithecidae.
CGGGGCGCGCGGUCAGGUGACUUGGGGCGCCAAGUUCCCGACACGGUGACCGCGGUCACUGCCGAGGCCCGGCGGACGCUGACCCUGGAGCGUAGUGGGGCUGAUCUCCUGGAACAAAGUUGCUGGGCCGGCGGCGGCCGGGCGAGAGAGCCAAAGGGGAGCCGGAGCGCUGCAAAGGCGCGGGCCGGAGGGCUGGCGCUGAUCUGCUCCCUUCUCCUGGGGAGAGCGGACACCCGGCUGCCCGGAGGCGAGCCUGUUCCCGGGGAGUUGGGGCGGCAACGAGCGAUCCAGCGGUCCUGCGCCCCACCCUCCCUACUCCUCCGCCUGCGCUGGGCUGCAACAAAGGGGCAGGCCCGCAGCGGGGAGGAGGAGGAGGAGGAGCCGGAGGAGCGAGGCGCUCUCGCGCACAAAGUUGUGGAGUCGUUUUUCCUCGGAGGAGGGAAGCGGGCAGCAGCAGCCGGCCGCGGGCUUUCUCCCGCCGAGGGGCGAGGAGGAGCCUCUGGCUCCAGAAGCCGAUUGGGGGAUCACGGGGAGCGGCGCCCCCCUUCUUUUGGGUCAUUUCUGCAGACGGAAAACUCUGUGGCGUUUGGCAAACUUGGUGCCUGCGCGCCCGUUCCAGGUUUGCGCUUUGACUGUUUUGUUUUUGGCGGAACUACCAGGCAGGAAGAUUGCACAAGUAAGGGGCGUUUUCAGUCGGGUGUCAAUUUCUUUUUCUUUCUUUCUUUCUUUUUUUUUUCUUUAAUUUCGGAUCUUGUCUGCUUCUCCAAGUUUUAUUUUUUAAAAAAAUACAUCGCACCACUAAACUCACACUCGCACACACCCCCGCGAUUACUCCGUCUCAAACUCCUAGAGGAGCCCUUGGCCAGCUCGGGGUGCGGCGGUGGCGGCCGGCAGGCCAGGCGGCCCGCGGGCACCAGGUAUGGAAGAGGGAGAGUCACACUAGGAUACAUUGUUCGUGGUGAAACUUUGAUUCUGUCUCCUGAAAACCAAAGAUGCUGCAUUUGGCAAUUAGAAGGAGUCAUCGUCUGCCUUAAGUUUACUCAAAUUCCUCUGGCCAUUAAUGGCAACAAGUAACCUCAGUGGCUAUCAGUACUUAAAUAGCCUUCUGUUAUUCUUCUUUCUCCCCAUUUUCCCCUGUACUCUGAUCACCUUUUCUGCUGUAUCUUUGGCAACUUGUAAGGGCUUUUCAUUAUCAAGAAGAGAAAAUUUGAAAAAUCACCUUGAGGAGAGUGUCAAGUGAAACAUUAUAGUGAAGAAAUAUUACUGAUAGUGUGCAAAUGGAAUAUAGUAGUGUGUAAAAAGUUUACUUUUCUCUUUUAUGGGUGAAUAAAGGCUUUGGGAAGCAUAGAAGUGGAGAUCUUGGCUAAGACCAAUUGUGAAGAAAAGCAUUAGACUUACCACUCCAAAGUGAUACACUGUAGAUCUUUCCAGGAAAGAGAAUUUUUCCUUGGGCAAACUUAAUUUUCCAUAAUAAACUUUUAUAGACAUUCUUCUGAACAAAGUUUUUGGUUCUUGAAUAUAAUAAAAUACACUUAAGAAUUUAGCAAAUCCUUUAUAGUUAUGUAGUUGAAUGAAAGAACGUAAUCACAUAAUAAUCCAUAAAUUUUUAGCAGUAGUAGAGCGUAUAAAAAAUGAAAAAAGUUUCUUAGACUGUCAUAAAAUCUGUCAAAUUGAUGAUCCAAUUCUUUAUAUCCAAUUCUCUCUCUUUUUUUUUGAGAUGAAGUCUUACCCACUCGUUCGUCAAGACUGGAGUGCAGUGGCAGCGAUCUCGACUCACUGCAACCUCCACCUCCUGAAUUCAACCAAUUUCCCUGCCUCAGCCUCCUGAGUAGCUGGGAUUGCAGAUGUUUGCCACCAUGCCUGGCUAAUUUUUAUAUUUUUAGUAGAGACAGGGUUUCGCCAUGUUAGCCAGACUGGUCUCAAACUCCUGAUCUCAAGUGUUAGCUGGGUUGGUCUUGAACUCUGGACCUCAAGUGAUCUGCCUGCCUCAGUCUUCCAAAGAGCUGGGAUUACAGGCAUGAGCCACCAUGCUGAGCCCAACUAUCUUUUUGUCAUCUCUGCUUAUAUAACUCAGAGGCACCUCAAGCUCUGUGAGUCCAAACCACAUUGAUGAUUCCUUUCUCCCAGCCCACUAUCCUCAGUGUUCCCCAGCUCAAUGACUCACACUUCACCUAACUGCUGAAGCCAAAACUGGGGAGUUGUUUUGUACAUUUUGCACAUUGGAUAUGAAUCCCUCAUAUCCAAUCAGUUCCCAAAUCCUAUUGACUUUCUUUGAUAUCUAAAUAUCCCACAUAUUCACCCAUUUCUUUCCAUCUAUUCUUGUUUAGACCACAAUUGUUUCCUGCCUAUAAUAUUAAAAUAGAAAGACUAGCACAAUAAACACCCAGAUGUCCUUUUUAUUUUAUUCUUUUAAAUUUUUAUUUACAUGGAGUAGAGACAAGGUCUCACCAUGUUGCCUAGGCUGGUCUCAAACUUCUGGGCUCAAGUAAUCCUCUUGCUUCAGCUUCCCAAAUUAGUGUGAUUACAGGUGUGAGCUACCUCGCCUAGCCCCAGAUGCCCUUAAACUAGUUUUCCCACUUACUUUAUUUUUUUUUUUUUGAGAUGGAGUUUCGCUCUUGUCACCCAGGCUGGAGUGUAAUAGCGCAAUUUUGGCUCACUAUAGCCUCUGCCUCCUGGAUUCAAGUGAUUCUCCUGCCUCAGUCUCCCAAGUAGCUGGGAUUACAGGCACCCGCCACCACACCCAGCUAAUUUUUGUAUUUUUUUUUAGUGGAGACGGGGUUUCACCAUGUUGGCCAGGCUGGUCUCGAACUCCUGAAGUCAGGUGAUCCACCUGCCUUGGCCUCCCUAAGUGCUGGGAUUAGAGGCGUGAGCCACCAUGCCCGGCCUAGUUUUCCCACUUAUUUUACAAUAUUUGCUGCAUCUUUCUGCUUGUCUGUGUGUAUAUGCAUAUAUACAUCUACAUACAUAUAUCAAACUAAAUAUGUAUGUAUCAAUAUAGACAGAUAUAUGCUAUUCUGUUUGAACUUAAGUUAAAGAUGCCAUCACACUUCAUUGCUAAAUAUUUCACCAUAUGUCUUACAAAGACAUUCUCCUGCUACAAUACCAUUAACUAAUGUUAAAGAAAUUUAACAUUGAUACAAUAAUAUUGUCUAUUACAUAGUCCAAAUUCAGAUUUUUCAAAUGAUCCUCAAAAUGUUUUAUUUUAAAAUUCUGAAUUCAAUCAAAGAUUACAUUUAGUUGUUAUGUUUGUUUAGUCUCCUUUAAUUCACAAAGUUCCCCCUCUCCCAGGUAAUUUUGGUUUUCAAGACACUGACAGUUUUGAAGAGACCAGGUCAUUUGUUUUGAAAACUAGCCACAGUCUAGAUUUGUCUGCUUAUGAGAAGAUUCAUGUUCAACAUCUUGGCAAGGAUAUUGUGUAGAUGAUGUGGUAAUUUUCCAUUGAAUUGCAUGAUGCCCCAUGAUUGGUUAUGUUAAUUUUGAUCACUUGGUUAAGGUUAGGAAUUUUUCCCCAACAUAUUACUAUGAAAACAUUCUCAGACAUACAGAAGAGUUGCAAGAAAUUUUCAUUCAACAUUCAUAUACCCAUGGCCUAGGUUCCUUAAUUAGCAUUUUGCUAUAUUCUGCCAUAGUCUUCACUGGUUCCCCACAUAUUACCAUGGUCUGCCUACAAGCCAUGAUUUUUCUUUUCUUUUCUUUUCUUUUUUUUUUGAGACAGAGUCUCACUCUUGUUGCCCAGGGCGGAGUGCAGUGGCAUGAUCUCAGCUCACUGCAACUUCCACCUCUCAGGUUCAAGCAGUUCUCCUGCAUUAGCCUCCUGAGUAGCUGGGAUUACAGGUGCACACCACCAUGCCUGGCUAAGUUUUUUUGGUAUUUUUAGUAGAGACGGAGUUUCACCAUGCUGGCCAGGCUGGUCUCGAACUCCUGACCUCGUGAUCCACCCGCCUCGGUCUCCCAAAGUGCUGGGAUUACAAGCGUGAGCCACCGCGCCCGGCCCUUGAUGAUCUUUUAAAAAGGCCAAUUUGACAAUGUUGGUUCCCUCUUUCAAACCAUCUACUGGCUCCCCAUUGCUCUUCAGAUAAAGACACAAACCCUUGACCUGUUCUCCAUGGUCCUGUCCCUGGUCCUGCCCAGCUUCCUCACCUGGUUCAACAGGUACACUUGUCUCUUGGCUGUCUUCCUUCCAGAAACACUGGCUUGUGCUCCACUCUUUGACUGCUCCAUGAUUCCUUCUGCCACUUUGCAUGGGAAGCUCUUACCUUUUCUCUUUGUGUUUCCCUUUUUGGCUAAUUAAAUUCUUAUCAUAUUUAAAGGCUUGGCUCAAAUGUCUCUUUAAGAAAGCCUUCUCUAAUUGCCCAGGACAGGUCAAAUUCCUCUGCUGUAUGCUCUUUGUACUUAGUAGAAUAUGCUUCUCCUUUGCUUCUUCUAUACUUCUCCAUUGUAUGAUUUGUAGUCUAUCAGUAUUGUAAUGAAAUAAUUCAUUGUAUAAUUAAUUGUUUAGUGUGUGUAAGCUCCAUAAUGGCAGAGGUUAUGUCUCUUGUUGAUAGUCAUAACCCCAUUCCCUGGCUCAGUGCUUUACACAUGAUAGGCACUCAAUAUUUGGUGAAUGAAUAGUUACUAUGCAUAAUUGUAUAUAAAAGAUAUAAAUAUGUUUUUUCAAGUCAGU